This 498-nucleotide ribosomal RNA is filed under the name uncultured bacterium. RNAcentral's name for it is "partial 16S ribosomal RNA". It matches the Rfam family "Bacterial small subunit ribosomal RNA", at positions 30 to 523 of the family's 1533-position model. The record is from RNAcentral.
AUUGAACGCUGGCGGCAUGCCUUACACAUGCAAGUCGAACGGUAACAGGUCUUCGGAUGCUGACGAGCGGCGAACGGGUGAGUAAUACAUCGGAACGUGCCUAGUAGUGGGGGAUAACUACUCGAAAGAGUGGCUAAUACCGCAUGGGAUCUACGGAUGAAAGCAGGGGAUCGCAAGAACUUGUGCUACUAGAGCGGCCGAUGGCAGAUUAGGUAGUUGGUGGGAUAAAAGCUUACCAAGCCGACGAUCUGUAGCUGGUCUGAGAGGACGAUCAGCCACACUGGGACUGAGACACGGCCCAGACUCCUACGGGAGGCAGCAGUGGGGAGUUUUGGACAAUGGGCGAAAGCCUGAUCCAGCAAUGCCGCGUGCAGGAUGAAGGCCUUCGGGUUGUAAACUGCUUUUGUACGGAACGAAAAGCCCCGGGUUAAUACCCUGGGGUCAUGACGGUACCGUAAGAAUAAGCACCGGCUAACUACGUGCCAGCAGCCGCCGUAA